This 279-nucleotide ribosomal RNA is filed under the name uncultured bacterium. RNAcentral describes it as "partial 16S ribosomal RNA". It matches the Rfam family "Bacterial small subunit ribosomal RNA", at positions 506 to 784 of the family's 1533-position model. The record is from RNAcentral.
UGCCAGCAGCCGCGGUAAUACGGAGGGUGCAAGCGUGGUUCGGAAUUAUUGGGCGUAAAGCGGGUGUAGGCGGUUCGACAAGUCAGAUGUGAAAUCCCUGGGCCCAACCCAGGAACUGCAUCUGAAACUGUCGGGCUAGAGUCUCGGAGAGGGUGGCGGAAUUCCCGGUGUAGAGGUGAAAUUCGUAGAGAUCGGGAGGAACACCAGUGGCGAAGGCGGCCACCUGGACGAUGACUGACGCUCAGACCCGAAAGCGUGGGGAGCAAACAGGAUUAGAUA